GUGUGGUUUGGGGUAAAGUAGGUAGAAUGUGUGGUUUGUGGUAAAGUAGGUAGAAUGUGUGGUUUGGGGUAAAGUAGGUAGAAUGUGUGGUUUGGGGUAAAGUAGGUAGAAUGUGUGGUUUGUGGUAAAGUAGGUAGAAUGUGUGGUUUGUGGUAAAGUAGGUAGAAUGUGUGGUUUGGGGUAAAGUAGGUAGAAUGUGUGGUUUGUGGUAAAGUAGGUAGAAUGCGUGGUUUGGGGUAAAGUAGGUAGAAUGUGUGGUUUGGGGUAAAGAAGGUAGAAUGUGUGGUUUGGGGUAAAGAAGGUAGAAUGUGUGGUUUGUGGUAAAGUAGGAAGAAUGUGUGGUUUGGGGUAAAGAAGGUAGAAUGUGUGGUUUGUGGUAAAGAAGGUAGAAUGUGUGGUUUGGGGUAAAGAAGGUAGAAUGUGUGGUUUGUGGUAAAGAAGGUAGAAUGUGUGGUUUGUGGUAAAGUAGGUAGAAUGUGUGGUUUGUGGUAAAGUAGGUAGAAUGUGUGUUUGUGGUAAAGUAGGUAGAAUGUGUGGUUUGGGUAAAGUAGGUAGAAUGUGUGGUUUGGGUAAAAAUGGUAGAAUGUGUGGUUUGCGGUAAAGAAGGUAGAAUGUGUGCUUUGGGUAAAAAUGGUAGAAUGUGUGGUUUGUGGUAAAGUAGGUAGAAUCUGUGGUUUGGGGUAAAGUACGUAGAAUGUGUGGUUUGGGGUAAAGUACGUAGAAUGUGUGGUUUGGGGUAAAGUAGGUAGAAUGUGUGGUUUGUGGUAAAGAAGGUAGAAUGUGUGGUUUGGGGUAAAGAAGGUAGAAUGUGUGGUUUGGGGUAAAGAAGGUAGAAUGUGUGGUUUGGGGUAAAGUAGGUAGAAAAUGUGGUUUGGGGUAAAGUAGGUAGAAUGUGUGGUUUGUGGUAAAGUAGGUAGAAUGUGUGGUCUGGGUAAAGUAGGUAGAAUGUGUGGUUUGUGGUAAAGUAGGUAGAAUGUGUGGUUUGGGGUAAAGUAGGUAGAAUGUGUGGUUUGGGGUAAAGUAGGUAGAAUGUGUGGUUUGGUGUAAAAUACGUAGAAUGUGUGGUUUGGGGUAAAGUAGUUAAAAUGUGUGGUUUGGGGUAAAGUAGGUUAAAUGUGUGGUUUGGGGUAAAGUAGAUAGAAUGUGUGGUUUGUGGUAAAGUAGGUAGAAUGUGUGGUUUGGGGUAAAGUAGGUAGAAUGUGUGGUUUGUGGUAAAGUAGGUAGAAUGUGUGGUUUGUGGUAAAGAAGGUAGAAUGCGUGGUUUGGGGUAAAGAAGGUAGAAUGUGUGGUUUGUGGUAAAGAAGGUAGAAUGUGUGGUUUGGGGUAAAGAAGGUAGAAUGUGUGGUUUGUGGUAAAGUAGGUAGAAUGUGUGGUUUGGGGUCAAGAAGGUAGAAUGUGUGGUUUGUGGUAAAGUAGGUAGAAUGUGUGGUUUGUGGUAAAGAAGGUAGAAUGCGUGGUUUGGGGUAAAGUAG
Molecule: long non-coding RNA, 1472 nt
Filed under: Salmo salar (Atlantic salmon)
Lineage: Eukaryota; Metazoa; Chordata; Actinopteri; Salmoniformes; Salmonidae
Description: lncRNA (ENSSSAG00000089639.1)
Source: RNAcentral